GGAUGCGAUGAUACCAACUCGCAUGCACUGGAUUCUAUUCGAAUUCUAAAAUUAAACGAGUUUGGCGAGAGUAGUACCAGAAUGAGUGACUUCCUGGGAAGUUCUCGUGUUGUAUCAA
This 118-nucleotide ribosomal RNA is filed under the name Prunus dulcis (almond). The record is from RNAcentral. Lineage: Eukaryota; Viridiplantae; Streptophyta; Magnoliopsida; Rosales; Rosaceae.